AUGCAAGUCGAGCGGACAGAUGGGAGCUUGCUCCCUGAUGUUAGCGGCGGACGGGUGAGUAACACGUGGGUAACCUGCCUGUAAGACUGGGAUAACUCCGGGAAACCGGGGCUAAUACCGGAUGCUUGAUUGAACCGCAUGGUUCAAUUAUAAAAGGUGGCUUUUAGCUACCACUUACAGAUGGACCCGCGGCGCAUUAGCUAGUUGGUGAGGUAACGGCUCACCAAGGCGACGAUGCGUAGCCGACCUGAGAGGGUGAUCGGCCACACUGGGACUGAGACACGGCCCAGACUCCUACGGGAGGCAGCAGUAGGGAAUCUUCCGCAAUGGACGAAAGUCUGACGGAGCAGCGCCGCGUGAGUGAUGAAGGUUUUCGGAUCGUAAAACUCUGUUGUUAGGGAAGAACAAGUACCGUUCGAAUAGGGCGGUACCUUGACGGUACCUAACCAGAAAGCCACGGCUAACUACGUGCCAGCAGCCGCGGUAAUACGUAGGUGGCAAGCGUUGUCCGGAAUUAUUGGGCGUAAAGCGCGCGCAGGCGGUUUCUUAAGUCUGAUGUGAAAGCCCCCGGCUCAACCGGGGAGGGUCAUUGGAAACUGGGGAACUUGAGUGCAGAAGAGGUGAGUGGAAUUCCACGUGUAGCGGUGAAAUGCGUAGAGAUGUGGAGGAACACCAGUGGCGAAGGCGACUCUCUGGUCUGUAACUGACGCUGAGGCGCG
This 719-nucleotide ribosomal RNA is filed under the name uncultured Bacillus sp. Its description in RNAcentral is "bacterial SSU rRNA". It matches the Rfam family "Bacterial small subunit ribosomal RNA", at positions 55 to 755 of the family's 1533-position model. The record is from RNAcentral. Lineage: Bacteria; Bacillati; Bacillota; Bacilli; Caryophanales; Bacillaceae.